RNAcentral lists this ribosomal RNA (241 nucleotides) under uncultured bacterium. RNAcentral's name for it is "partial 16S ribosomal RNA". It matches the Rfam family "Bacterial small subunit ribosomal RNA", at positions 1258 to 1500 of the family's 1533-position model. The record is from RNAcentral.
UGAUAUAGAGCAAAACCCUAAAAACGGUACUCAGUUCGGAUUGAAGGCUGAAAUUCGCCUUCAUGAAGCUGGAAUUGCUAGUAAUGGCAGGUCAGCAUACUGCCGUGAAUACGUUCCCGGGCCUUGUACACACCGCCCGUCACACCAUGAGAGUUGGGAAUACCCGAAGCCUGUGAGCUAACAUAUGAGGCAGCAGUCGAAGGUGGAAUCAAUGAUUGGGGUGAAGUCGUAACAAGGUACC